AGUGAAAAUUCUUAGUGAAGAAAAUCUGUAAUGCACUGACUUUGUUCAACAGGUCCAAAAUUCUGCUGGAGUAGUUGAAAGUCCAAUGAAAAAUGGUAAUACUGACAGCAUUUGACAAAUCACUCGGGUAAAGAUCUUCAGACUAAGGACACUAGGUGCAUGAAACUUGAGGAAGAAUUUGAACUAUGGUCCAGGAAUCACUUGAAACUGAACUUAUUCCUUUUCACUACCUGGAAUGCCCAGCAGUAAGAUGUUGUGUUAACCUAAUGGAGUUGAGGCCUAGGUAUGGAUGCCCAGCGACAUUCAAGCCAUUACUCCUCCUUGCCCGUUAUUCACAAACGUUUGUAGUAAAACAUUUCAUUGCACUUAUUAAUUUGUAAUAAGUAAUGGUAAGGUGGGUAUUGCCUUACUCAAGAUGAAUAUGAAGGGGAAAAGACAUUGAGUAACAAUUGUCAUUACAAUGAUAUUGCCUUGAAUAACAAACAGAAGCUAUCAGAAUUCACCAAAUAAUUGAUAGUGCACCAGGCUGCAUAAUUUCCUAAGGCUGCUUGCUUUGUCCAUAUGAGCCUUAGAAAAAUGAGAGUUC
Molecule: long non-coding RNA, 586 nt
Filed under: Phasianus colchicus (ring-necked pheasant)
Lineage: Eukaryota; Metazoa; Chordata; Aves; Galliformes; Phasianidae
Description: lncRNA (ENSPCLG00000004204.1)
Source: RNAcentral